Pantherophis guttatus is the source of this 751-nucleotide long non-coding RNA. RefSeq lists it as uncharacterized. NCBI's taxonomy places the organism in Eukaryota, Metazoa, Chordata, Lepidosauria, Squamata, Colubridae. The record is from RefSeq and is a predicted model, not a curated record.
AGCUUGACUUCCCUCUUUUUUGUGGCAGCCUCUGAGAUAUUGGCAUACUGCUAUCAUGUCAUCCCAGUCCAUUUUUUCAUUAAACUAGAUGUACCCAAUUCCUGCAACCGUUCUUCAUGUUUUUGCCUCCAGUCCCCUAAUCAUCUUUGUUGCUCUUCUCUGCACUCUUUCUAGUAUCUCAACAUCUUUUUUUUUUUCGUGGUGAUCCAAACUGGAUGGUUUUUGCUAUUGACCUGAUUGGCUAGGUAUGACAAGAACUGAAGUCCGAAGUAAAUGAUGCUUCCAAACCUUCUCUAUAUUUUCUUUAUGAUUGUAAAGCUAGAUUUCAUGAUUCUGAAUCCAUUAAACUGUAUGACUUUUACAACUUUGCAUCAAAAAUUGCAGUAUUUUAACAGCAGCUAGGAAGAGAGAAUUUCAAGAAACAGAAAUAUAUAGGAAGCAAAACCAAGAAAAAAAGCCUGAAAUCAGAGUAGAUUGCACAGUUCAUAUUCUUCAGUUUUCAGCUAAAUGAUUGUAGUAGAUACUGAAUAAAAUAUCUUCACGUAAGCAUAAACAAACUGUGCGUUUCCAGAAAUGAUCUUUGCUGAUAUCUCAUACUGUCAAGGUUUAGCAUUUCUGAGUAAAAUUUAAUGUAUGUAUCAAAACAAACUGCUGAUGGAAAAAUAUGAAAUGUUUUGAUGCAAUAAAGGAAAGAGCAGCUUGAAAAUGUUCACAUCUAAGUUAAAAAAUAAAAUGGCAAGCAUUGAAGAUC